CCACGGGUGGCAGCAGUGGGGAAUAUUGGACAAUGGGCGGAAGCCUGAUCCAGCCAUGCCGCGUGUGUGAAGAAGGCCUUCGGGUUGUAAAGCACUUUCAGUGGGGAAGAAAGCCUUGGGGCUAAUACCCUCGAGGAAGGACAUCACCCACAGAAGAAGCACCGGCUAACUCCGUGCCAGCAGCCGCGGUAAUACGGAGGGUGCGAGCGUUAAUCGGAAUUACUGGGCGUAAAGCGCGCGUAGGCGGUCUGAUAAGCCGGUUGUGAAAGCCCCGGGCUCAACCUGGGAACGGCAUCCGGAACUGUCAGGCUAGAGUGCAGGAGAGGAAGGUAGAAUUCCCGGUGUAGCGGUGAAAUGCGUAGAGAUCGGGAGGAAUACCAGUGGCGAAGGCGGCCUUCUGGACUGACACUGACGCUGAGGUGCGAAAGCGUGGGUAGCAAACAGGAUUAGAUACCUUGUAGUC
Molecule: ribosomal RNA, 463 nt
Filed under: Vreelandella stevensii
Lineage: Bacteria; Pseudomonadati; Pseudomonadota; Gammaproteobacteria; Oceanospirillales; Halomonadaceae
Description: partial 16S ribosomal RNA
Rfam family: Bacterial small subunit ribosomal RNA
Source: RNAcentral